UGGGGAAUUUUGGACAAUGGGCGAAAGCCUGAUCCAGCAAUGCCGCGUGUGUGAAGAAGGCCUUCGGGUUGUAAAGCACUUUUGUCCGGAAAGAAAUCCUCUGGGUUAAUACCUCGGGGGGAGUGACGGUACCGGAAGAAUAAGCACCGGCUAACUACGUGCCAGCAGCCGCGGUAAUACGUAGGGUGCAAGCGUUAAUCGGAAUUACUGGGCGUAAAGUGUGCGCAGGCGGUUUUGUAAGACGGAUGUGAAAUCCCCGGGGCUUAACCUGGGAACUGCAUUCGUGACUGCAAGGCUAGAGUAUGGCAGAGGGGGGUAGAAUUCCACGUGUAGCAGUGAAAUGCGUAGAGAUGUGGAGGAAUACCGAUGGCGAAGGCAGCCCCCUGGGCCAAUACUGACGCUCAUGCACGAAAGCGUGGGGAGCAAACAGGAUUAGAUACCCUGGUAGUCCACGCCCUAAACGAUGUCAACUAGUUGUUGGGGAUUCAUUUCCUUAGUAACGUAGCUAACGCGUGAAGUUGACCGCCUGGGGAGUACGGUCGCAAGAUUAAAACUCAAAUGAAUUGACGGGGU
This 573-nucleotide ribosomal RNA is filed under the name uncultured bacterium. RNAcentral's name for it is "partial 16S ribosomal RNA". It matches the Rfam family "Bacterial small subunit ribosomal RNA", at positions 355 to 919 of the family's 1533-position model. The record is from RNAcentral.